CCUACGGGUGGCAGCAGUGAGGAAUAUUGGUCAAUGGACGAGAGUCUGAACCAGCCAAGUAGCGUGAAGGAUGACUGCCCUAUGGGUUGUAAACUUCUUUUAUAUGGGAAUAAAAUGUUCCACGUGUGGGAUUUUGUAUGUACCAUAUGAAUAAGGAUCGGCUAACUCCGUGCCAGCAGCCGCGGUAAGACGGAGGAUCCGAGCGUUAUCCGGAUUUAUUGGGUUUAACGGGAGCGUAGGUGGAUUGUUAAGUCAGUUGUGAAAGUUUGCGGCACAACCGUAAAAUUGCAGUUGAAACUGGCAGUCUUGAGUACAGUAGAGGUGGGCGGAAUUCGUGGUGUAGCGGUGAAAUGCUUAGAUAUCACGAAGAACUCCGAUUGCGAAGGCAGUUCACUGGACUGCAACUGACACUGAGGCUCGAAAGUGUGGGUAUCAAACAGGAUUAGAUACCCGAGUAGUC
Molecule: ribosomal RNA, 460 nt
Filed under: uncultured bacterium
Lineage: Bacteria
Description: partial 16S ribosomal RNA
Rfam family: Bacterial small subunit ribosomal RNA
Source: RNAcentral